GAUACCCCCUGUUACCCUUGUCUAUAUUAUGGGAAGUAGUAGUUAAUGUUAUCGUUGGUGGUGCUGAAACCUUAGAUAAAGGUACCUCGGGCUUUCUCUCUUCAUGCAUGUUCAUGCGAAGAUCCCAAUCAAUUUUUAAAAAUAUAAUAAAAAAGUUAACUAGUUAACUACCAAGGAAAAAACGCCCUUCCUCUCACUCACACUUAGCAACUAACUACCUAGUUAAUCUAAUUAACUUACGCCAGAACUUCCCAAACACCCAAGAAAAUUAAAUAAAAUAACUCCCUGAUUGGAAGGAAAAUGGACAUUUGGACACAAGCUGACAGACAUACCCAUACCCCUCUCCUUUUCCGCGCAAUUCGAGCCCCCGAAGCUUCGAGGGAAUAUUUACAGUAUUUUGCUUCAUGGAAAUUAGCCCCCGCACAUGCAACAAUGGUUCUUUCUGGUCUCCC
Molecule: small RNA, 452 nt
Filed under: Histoplasma ohiense
Lineage: Eukaryota; Fungi; Ascomycota; Eurotiomycetes; Onygenales; Ajellomycetaceae
Description: hypothetical lncRNA
Source: RNAcentral